UCGCAGGUUCGAAUCCUGCACGACCCACCAAUUUAAAGGUGGUUACUGGUAGAGAACGUGAAGGAUAACGUUGCGUUAGCAACGGCCCGAAGGGUGAGACGAAGUCCAGUCAUCCUGCACGACCCACCA
This 129-nucleotide small RNA is filed under the name Escherichia coli. RNAcentral's name for it is "partial RtT sRNA". It matches the Rfam family "RtT RNA", at positions 35 to 130 of the family's 130-position model. From Rfam's summary of the family: This family represents a bacterial cis-regulatory element known as RtT RNA. The record is from RNAcentral. Lineage: Bacteria; Pseudomonadati; Pseudomonadota; Gammaproteobacteria; Enterobacterales; Enterobacteriaceae.